AUUGAACGCUGGCGGCAUGCCUUACACAUGCAAGUCGAACGGCAGCGCGGGGCAACCUGGCGGCGAGUGGCGAACGGGUGAGUAACAUAUCGGAACAUACCCUAGAGUGGGGAUAACGUAGCGAAAGUUACGCUAAUACCGCAUACGCACUAAGGUGGAAAGUGGGGGAUCUUCGGACCUCAUGCUCAUGGAGUGGCCGAUAUCUGAUUAGUUAGUUGGUGAGGUAAAGGCUCACCAAGGCGACGAUCAGUAGCUGGUUUGAGAGAACGACCAGCCACACUGGAACUGAGACACGGUCCAGACUCCUACGGGAGGCAGCAGUGGGGAAUUUUGGACAAUGGGGGGCAACCCUGAUCCAGCAAUGCCGCGUGAGUGAAGAAGGCC
This 384-nucleotide ribosomal RNA is filed under the name uncultured bacterium. RNAcentral's name for it is "bacterial SSU rRNA". It matches the Rfam family "Bacterial small subunit ribosomal RNA", at positions 30 to 416 of the family's 1533-position model. The record is from RNAcentral.